This 257-nucleotide long non-coding RNA is filed under the name Elaeis guineensis (African oil palm). RNAcentral describes it as "long non-coding RNA (EGUI_LNC035154)". The record is from RNAcentral. Lineage: Eukaryota; Viridiplantae; Streptophyta; Magnoliopsida; Arecales; Arecaceae.
GAAAAACAAAAGAAAAGCAGAAAAAAUUGAGAGGUAAGUCUUUUUCCUACAUAGAUUGUCAUUUUUUUUCCUUUUUUCUUUUUUUUCUUUUCUUUUCAUUAUCGUUUCCAUAGAUCUGUGGGAAAGAAGAGCACUGGAGAGAGAUAAGAGAGGUUUUCCAGGUUUCGAUUGGGUUUUUUUCCUUGAGUACAUGGGAUUCUAUCCAAGUUAUGGCGGUGUGAGUUGGUUCCUUGAGGUUUUGAGAGCUUAAUCUUGGU